CUACAAAGCCUCUGAGUGUUUGAGCUGCACCUCUUAACUGUGUGUGUAGGUUUUGUGACUUUUUAAGCAUUUUUAGUGGAAUAUCUGACAAAUAUUAUGGCUUGCUGUGUGGUACAGACCAUCCACAUUGUGCUUCAGUUUUGGUGCUCAGAUGACUUGUUCUGCCCCACUUUAACAGAAAUGGAAAAGAAGGCUCUAUCUGGCAGUAAAGCAGCUCUCCCAUGCUUUUUUUUAAUGUUUCUUCUUUUGUCUUUCUGAAGAUGGAAGAAUGUUUUCUCUUUUUUUGUACCUUUGUUGGAUAGUUUGGCAUCCUAUCUAUAUGAUGCAGUUACAGUGUGUGCUUGAGUUUGUCUUUUGUUUUCACUUUCACUAUGACAAGUAAAAAUAAAGUUAUAUUUAUUUGCUGCAGGAGUGCAGCAAGAACAGAAAUCUGCUUGUAGUCUUCUGUGUUUAAAAAAAAAAAAACUAUACUAUGUGAAGAAACCAAGAAGACAGAUGAAGACACACAACUUCUAUAUCAGAAAAUAAUAUAAAAUAUUGACACUGGUAACUUUUAAGAAUAUUUCCCAUUUUCCUUUUUCCUUUUGUCUGCUGACUUGUCCUCCAUCUCAUUCUGUGGACCUCCCUAAGUCCUCUCUUGCUGCCUGUCGCUCAACCUCAGCCGUCUCUCCCUGCUGUGUGUUGUGUUAUGUGGUGAUAUCCAGGGUUCCUGUGUGUUUAGACCGAGCUAGGGCAAAGAUUAAAAGACUCUGAAGUAACUUAAUCUCUUAAAUCUAUUGACAUAAACUCUUUCGCACACAGCGUACAUCUCUAUUUUCCUGUGGAGAUACAAACAUCUGGACUCACGUCCAUGUACACACACGCACACAUGCACGCACACUUGCCUGGUUUCUCUACAUCCUCAAAGAUACAAACAUCUGUACUUUCCAGCACACACAUACACAACCCUGCCAAAGACAAAGGCAUGCUUGCGUGCACAUUCGACUUGAUCUUCAAAAGAUGAAAAACAUCUGUCUGGCCCAACACACUUGUACAGAUGUGCACACACACAGUGACUGUUUACAUCAGUGUGCACCGGCCAGUUGAUGAACAUAAUCCUUAUCUGAUUAUGUUCAUCAAUAAACAGCUUGGCGUGGAACUAUGUGAGCAAUGGCGAUGAUAACUUUGGCAUCCAGAUGUGGAUUACACUUAAAUCCAAGCUGUUUAUGUUUAUCAGGCUAACUUCCAGUUGUUCAUGGGAGCAGCAGCAUCCAGAUAGAAGGAUUUAUCGUGAACUGACAAAAA
Molecule: long non-coding RNA, 1284 nt
Organism: Oreochromis niloticus (Nile tilapia)
Lineage: Eukaryota; Metazoa; Chordata; Actinopteri; Cichliformes; Cichlidae
Exons: 2
Source: RefSeq, a predicted model, not a curated record